UCAUUUGGUAUCAGAUUUUUGGCAUUUUGGGUGUUCUUGGUGGAUUUCUAAACUGAUCUCUAUUUUUUAAACUACAAACAUCAGUUUUACCCAGAAAAAUUUUUCGAAAAAAAUUAAUUUGAGUGGGUAAACGUUGUCCGAUUGAUCUGAAAAUUUACAUACAUAUUUUUGGCACUAUGAUUGAAUAUAAAAAAAUUAAUCCCGCAAAAAAAUC
Molecule: long non-coding RNA, 214 nt
Filed under: Gossypium raimondii (Peruvian cotton)
Lineage: Eukaryota; Viridiplantae; Streptophyta; Magnoliopsida; Malvales; Malvaceae
Description: long non-coding RNA (GRAI_LNC004643)
Source: RNAcentral